AUCAAUUUCAGAAACAAAAACUGUGACACUCUUCCUCACUCUUCCAUUACUCUCUCUCUUCUCAAACCGCCCCUAUCUUUCUCACAUUUUGGUUGGAGAAGAAGCAAAUAAGAUCUCCACUCCAUAAAUAACGAAUUGAAAUUGGAUUUCCGCGGUGUAUUUCGAGUUUAGAAAUAGGUAAUUGCUUGCAACACAUUGUUAGUCACUUGAGGAAUAUAGUGGGUAAACGGAAGCUGAUCAAUCUUCUGAACAUGGCAGUGGAUUUGUCGAUGAAAGUGGGGUAGGGGGCCCUGCUGGCCAGGUCGAAGGAAUUUGCAUGCUUUUCAAAGUGCUCUUUUAUAUGCUGUGACUGGAUAUACACUCUCAAAUGGAGUAUAAUUAUUUUUCAAAGUAGAAUGAAUCGCAUUGUAAAAUAUAUGACAUUGUAUCCAUGUAUUUGGAUUGCUUUUCAAAGGAGAAUAAAUUGCUUUUGAGGAGGGCCGAAAGAAAUGAAAACACGAUGAGUACGACAAGAACGAAAGCAGGACCUAUUGACGUUGAGAAGAUGGUUUCAGACUACUGAAAGAGCAGGUUUGUGCGGGGUCGUGUGUUCAACUGGUCAUGAGGGAACCUAGACCUAGUUGUGUCGUUGACACGAAACCUAAAACCUGUCAUCAAAACCUCAACCCACUUCUACUGGCUAGUAUAAUGGUGUAAGGGUCGAAGCCCACAGAGAUGGACGUAUGUGUAAUACAAUUGAGAUGACAUUCUGAAAAGGUUGGUUUGCUACCACACUUUGGGGGUUGAGUAAGCUACUAUCAUCUAGGGUAUGGCUUAUACGUGAAUGUAAGGUCUGUACUGUUGGGGUGCAUGUGAAAAGUGAGAAAUUACUAUAAAUGGAUAGACAAAAACAAAAGAGAAUAUCUGACUGCACUGAUCGACCAACUACCA
Long non-coding RNA from Salvia splendens (bonfire salvia), 930 nucleotides. RefSeq lists it as uncharacterized. The record is from RefSeq and is a predicted model, not a curated record. The transcript has 3 exons. Lineage: Eukaryota; Viridiplantae; Streptophyta; Magnoliopsida; Lamiales; Lamiaceae.